GACACUGGCUGUUUUCCCUUAUUUGGCAGAUUCAUUAAUAUGUUCAGAGCUGUGCUCUGAUUGGCUGAUUUACUGUGAGGUACUGCGAUGGCUCACACAGAUCCGACAUAGAUCUACAGGUGAGAUAAAACAGAGCAUUUAGGCAUCCAACCAUAUUUGUUUGAACUUGUAUCAGAGGAGGAAUUAGAUGUUGAGGAGAAGCCGGUUGCUCGGAAAUUGCAAAUGAAUGUCUCGGAGUGUCUUUACAGAAAGCACUCAAGAUCCACCCUGUCCUCUGCUCCCUGACCCAGUGCUGCAAAACCAUCUUCAGAUGAUUCCAACAGGCUGUUCAAACUCACAGUGGCAAGCAGGUGGAACAACGAUUACGGGGUCAGGUUCACAUACAUAUUUAAGGAAAAAUACCACUUCCUGUGUAAUAUAGGCCGUAAUAAACAGUAUGAAAAAGCACAGCACAUUUCCAGUAAUGAGGCUACCACAGAGAACCAAUCCAGUGCAUUCUGGGAAGUCAAC
Molecule: long non-coding RNA, 510 nt
Organism: Paramormyrops kingsleyae
Lineage: Eukaryota; Metazoa; Chordata; Actinopteri; Osteoglossiformes; Mormyridae
Source: RefSeq, a predicted model, not a curated record